Molecule: transfer RNA, 74 nt
Filed under: Phycisphaerae bacterium
Lineage: Bacteria; Pseudomonadati; Planctomycetota; Phycisphaerae
Also listed under: 1 other name
Description: tRNA-Arg
Rfam family: tRNA
About the family: Transfer RNA (tRNA) molecules are approximately 80 nucleotides in length. Their secondary structure includes four short double-helical elements and three loops (D, anti-codon, and T loops).
Source: RNAcentral
GCGCUCGUAGCUCAGGUGGAUAGAGCGUCGGUUUCCUAAACCGAAGGUCGUGGGUUCGAGUCCCGCCGAGCGUA